CCUACGGGCGGCUGCAGUAAGGAAUAUUGGUCAAUGCCCGGAAGGGUGAACCAGCCAUGCCGCGUGAAGGAUGACUGCCCUCUGGGUUGUAAACUUCUUUUGGAUGGGACGAAAAAACGGGAUUUAUCCUGGACUGACGGUACCAUCAGAAUAAGCACCGGCUAACUCCGUGCCAGCAGCCGCGGUAAUACGGAGGGUGCAAGCGUUAUCCGGAAUCACUGGGUUUAAAGGGUGCGUAGGCGGUUUUAUAAGUCAGGGGUGAAAGCAUGCAGCUUAACUGUAUAAUUGCCUUUGAUACUGUAAGACUUGAAUAAGGUUGAGGUUGGCGGAAUGUGACAUGUAGCGGUGAAAUGCUUAGAUAUGUCAUAGAACACCGAUUGCGAAGGCAGCUGACUGGGCCUUUAUUGACGCUGAGGCACGAAAGCGUGGGGAGCGAACAGGCUUAGAUACCCCGGUAGUC
Molecule: ribosomal RNA, 460 nt
Filed under: uncultured Saprospiraceae bacterium
Lineage: Bacteria; Pseudomonadati; Bacteroidota; Saprospiria; Saprospirales; Saprospiraceae
Description: bacterial SSU rRNA
Rfam family: Bacterial small subunit ribosomal RNA
Source: RNAcentral